CCUACGGGAUGCAGCAGUGGGGAAUAUUGGGCAAUGGGCGCAAGCCUGACCCAGCAACGCCGCGUGAAGGAAGCAGGCUUUCGGGUUGUAAACUUCUUUUGACAGGGAAGAGCAGAAGACGGUACCUGUCGAAUAAGCCACGGCUAACUACGUGCCAGCAGCCGCGGUAAUACGUAGGUGGCAAGCGUUGUCCGGAUUUACUGGGUGUAAGGGGCGUGUAGCCGGGCUGACAAGUCAGAUGUGAAAUCCGGGGGCUCAACCCCCGAAUGGCAUUUGAAACUGUUGGUCUGGAGUAUCGGAGAGGCAGGCGGAAUUCCUAGUGUAGCGGUGAAAUGCGUAGAUAUUAGGCGGAACACCAGUGGCGAAGGCGGCCUGCUGGACGACAACUGACGGUGAGGCGCGAAAGCGUGGGGAGCAAACAGGAUUAGAUACCCGUGUAGUC
RNAcentral lists this ribosomal RNA (442 nucleotides) under uncultured bacterium. RNAcentral describes it as "partial 16S ribosomal RNA". It matches the Rfam family "Bacterial small subunit ribosomal RNA", at positions 338 to 795 of the family's 1533-position model. The record is from RNAcentral.